UUAUUUGGGUAAAGUUUUAGAUAAUUAAUCUUCAUUUGAGAGUUACCGAAGUCUUUCUUCUUGGCUUUUUGUAAACAUUCAAGAUACUCAAAGGCAAAUGAUUAAUGAACGUUUUACUCAACGAGGCAACAAGCCAAGAGAGAGACAUCUUUCUGGACCAUUAAGGCUACUCUAGCCAUUGGAUGAUGACAUCAUUAGCACAUUGUCUUUGAAUAGGUGGGAUAAGGGAACUCCAAUGGUUGUGAUGGUGAGAUGGAUGGUUGCUUAGGAGAACAGUAAACAUAUAUAUACAUGUAUACAUAUAUGUAUGCAUGUGUAUAUGUAUGUAUAUGUGUAUAUAUGU
Molecule: long non-coding RNA, 343 nt
Filed under: Phoenix dactylifera (date palm)
Lineage: Eukaryota; Viridiplantae; Streptophyta; Magnoliopsida; Arecales; Arecaceae
Description: long non-coding RNA (PDAC_LNC003040)
Source: RNAcentral